AACGAACGCUGGCGGCAUGCCUAACACAUGCAAGUCGAACGAGACCUUCGGGUCUAGUGGCUCACGGGUGCGUAACGCGUGGGAAUCUGCCCUUGGGUUCGGAAUAACAGUGAGAAAUUACUGCUAAUACCGGAUGAUGUUUUCGGACCAAAGAUUUAUCGGCCAGGGAUGAGCCCGCGUAGGAUUAGCUAGUUGGUGGGGUAAUGGCCUACCAAGGCGACGAUCCUUAGCUGGUCUGAGAGGAUGACCAGCCACACUGGGACUGAGACACGGCCCAGACUCCUACGGAAGGCAGCAGUGGGGAAUAUUGGACGAUGGGCGCAAGCCUGAUCCAGCAAUGCCGCGUGAGUGAUGAAGGCCUUAGGAUUGUAAAGCCAGUUUACACGGGAUGAUAAUGACGGUACCGGGAGAAUAAGCACCGGCUAACUACGUG
This 433-nucleotide ribosomal RNA is filed under the name uncultured bacterium. RNAcentral's name for it is "partial 16S ribosomal RNA". It matches the Rfam family "Bacterial small subunit ribosomal RNA", at positions 29 to 507 of the family's 1533-position model. The record is from RNAcentral.